Cercocebus atys (sooty mangabey) is the source of this 131-nucleotide ribosomal RNA. Lineage: Eukaryota; Metazoa; Chordata; Mammalia; Primates; Cercopithecidae. The record is from Ensembl.
AUCUAUGGCCAUAUUGCCUUCAAUGUGCCAGAUCUUACAUGAUCUUGGAAGUUAAACAGAGGCAAAUCUGGUUAGUACUUGAAUGGGAGCAUGGAGCUCCACAAACCUCAUGACAAAAACUGCAAUUGCUU